GAUGAACGCUGGCGGCGUGCCUAAUACAUGCAAGUCGAGCGAAGCGGGGACGGGUGAGUAACACGUGGAUAACCUCCUAUAAGACUGGGAUAACUUCGGGAAACCGGAGCUAAACCGGAUGCUUAUAGGUAGAUCCGCGGUGCAUUAGCUAGUUGGUAAGGUAACGGCUUACCAAGGCAACGAUGCAUAGCCGGCCUGAGAGGAUGAUCGGCCACACUGGAACUGAGACACGGUCCAGACUCCUACGGGAGGCAGCAGUAGGGAAUCUGCCGCAAUGGGCGAAAGCCUGAAGGAGCAAUGCCGCGUGAGUGAGGAAGGUCUUCGGAUCGUAAAACUCUGUUAGUAGGGAAGCGGUACCUAAACAGAAAGCCCCGGCUAACUACGUGCCAGCAGCCGCGGUAAUUC
This 405-nucleotide ribosomal RNA is filed under the name uncultured bacterium. RNAcentral describes it as "partial 16S ribosomal RNA". It matches the Rfam family "Bacterial small subunit ribosomal RNA", at positions 28 to 526 of the family's 1533-position model. The record is from RNAcentral.